Protopterus annectens (West African lungfish) is the source of this 73-nucleotide non-coding RNA. Lineage: Eukaryota; Metazoa; Chordata; Ceratodontiformes; Protopteridae. The record is from the annotation of a RefSeq genome assembly.
AUCCAGCUAGCUCAGUCAGUAGAGCAUGAGAUUUUUAAUCUCAGGGUCGUGGGUUCCAUCCCCACACUGGGUG